UCAUUACAACACAAAAGGUUUUUUUUUAACAAAAAUACUUAGUGCUUUUAAGUUCUUUCUGCUGCCUCUUUGCUACUUCGACUUGUUUGGAUCUCGAAUAGUGCUAUCACUUUCCGUUGGCAUAUUAAUAAAUUCAUAUUAAUCGUAUCCAGGAUUUGGAUUUCAAAUGCAAGACAUGAAGAUGUUCAUUUGGAACAAGAUUCAAAUAGUUUUAGUUCCUGUCCUAUUAUUUCUAUUUUUGUAUUAUUUUUUCUUAAUUAUUUUGGCAUGUAAUACUAAACUCUUUAUAUAAUAAAAGGGGGAAGAAUACAUGGGGAGGGAAUAUACUUGCUACUUGCUUUAGUGAUUUAUUUUUAGUUCAUCUUAAAUUUAUGUGUGCUUGAAUAUAUGUGAAAUUAGUUAUA
This is a long non-coding RNA of Solanum dulcamara, 404 nucleotides long. RefSeq lists it as uncharacterized. The transcript is spliced from 2 exons. The record is from RefSeq and is a predicted model, not a curated record. Lineage: Eukaryota; Viridiplantae; Streptophyta; Magnoliopsida; Solanales; Solanaceae.